Molecule: long non-coding RNA, 7502 nt
Filed under: Gallus gallus (chicken)
Lineage: Eukaryota; Metazoa; Chordata; Aves; Galliformes; Phasianidae
Description: lncRNA (ENSGALG00010005766.1)
Source: RNAcentral
CACAUAUACAUCUGCCCUCACUUUCAGAAUAGUGAAACCUCUAUGAUACUCUGAUUACUUAUCUCCAAGCAUUUGAUACCAGAGUAGUCAUAUGGGGCUGCAUAAAGAACUUAGAAGGGGGUUGUGCUGUGGCAGUUAAUCAUAGUUAAUGUGGUGCCAAGGAAGAAGAGAAAACAUCUUUAUGACUGUAAGUGGAAAAAGGAUGAAUUAAACAGAGCUUGGAAGAGCAGCUGUGUUGCAGGGGAGCCUCAGGCUUUUGGUGUGGUUGCAGGAAAUGGGCUGCAUGCAUCUUGAGGGGUGCCCACAAACACGCUCAGGGCUUUCAGAAAUGUAUUUAGGUCACUGACACUUUGAAAGCUUUAUGCAUUUUGAUCCUAGGGGCUGUAACAAAGGCAUGUAAACUCAAAGUGAAAGCUAGCAUCCAUCCGUGGCUGGUCUUAUUGUAUCCACAGGAAUUUCAGAUCAAUGAAGGAUGUUAGCAAUUAUGUGCUGAAAUAACUAAGUACAAUGGGAUGAGGGUCAGAAGGAGGUGAUGGAUGUCCUUUCCCAGCAGUAGUGGUGCCCUCCUUGGAUUUGUAGAACUGCGUACAAAACACAUUUUCAUUUCAACAUCGCUAAGAGCUCACAUGGCCGAUAGAAAAUGACCCUAAUGUACAACUGUUAUAUUUCCACAAGAAGGAGACUAUGUUCGGGGCAAAGGAUUUUAAUCUUCCAUUGUAAAUGAAGGCACAGAAGUCUUGUAAUCUCUGACACUGUUUUACAGUCAGAACCUGGAAGGCUACCUUCAGAUUAUGGAAGCUGGCAAAAUUCAUAACCUGGCAAAAGGAAAAAUAUUCACAUAACUCUCGGCAAGAACCCAAAUCAAACCAUUCUUUUUAAUUGCAGAAAGAUGAAGCCUCUGGACAAAAUGUGUUCCAAAUAAUAUAAUCUGCACUUCCUGUCACAUAAAGAAAACUCUUCUCAAAAUGCUGACUGGGAGACUCUUCCCCCACCUCUUGCAUCAUGGAUAAUCAAUAUUUGCCUGGAUGAUGCUGAUGAUGGACAAUACGCUGGGUCUGCAAUAACAUUGACUCAAAAUUCCUUGCUCAUUGUGAGAUAACUUCCUAAAGAUUGCGAGCAAAAGGAAGUCAGAGAACAAAGCAAUGUCAAGUAUGCACAUGUCACAACACAAUGCGCUGAUUCCAAGUCUUUGGAAACAUGCUGAAAGACGUCUGGAAAAAAAAAAAAAAAAAAAGAAGAAAAAAAAAAAAAAAGGAAAUGCUUUCACACAGAAUUUCGACAUGAAAACAACAGCUGAAUGUGCCUGUUCCUGCCAGGAAAAAAUACCCUGAAAAAACAAAAGGUGCUGGAAAACUAGAAAUGAAAUCAUCACAUGCUACACAAGAGGAUAUGAGCAGAGAUCAAGCCCAUUGAAAACAAGCCGAGAGGUUGACCAGCCUACUGGGGUGACUGAAAGGCCAGAAAAGAUGCUGCGGGAAGACUUCCAAGCAUCAAUAAAUAUUGAAGUUCUUUCCAACUCAAUGUUUUGAAAUGUCUUAGAAGUUUUAACCAAAAGGCCUUGCUAUGAUCAACUCUAGUAGGGGAAUAAGAGUAAUAUUUCCACAAGAAAUAUUUUAUUUUCAAUGGUACUUUCUCCAAAAACCACCAAUGGAGAAGUGGUGGGAUUUGAUGACAACAUAGACUUUAAAAAUGUAAUAAACUUAUCUAAUGUAAAAGAUGAUUACAGCUUUCAAAGAUAUGUCCACCAACAAGAACUGCUGCAGCCAGAUGUUUUGGUCAAAUUCGAGUACGUCACUGAGAUACUGAGCAAGCUCAAAACAGAACAGCUGAUUGCUUUGAAGAGCCAACACUUGAAAUUACUUAAAGCACUCUUCUACCAAAGAGACAGAAGACAGCUUUCAUAUUCUCGAGUCAUCCUACAAAGUCCUGCGUGAAAUAGACUACUGCAGCCUACAGGCAUCAUAGAAAUAUUUCAGUCAAGACCACAAGUUCCACUCUUGCCCCUAUGCUUAUGCUAAUGUGCACGAUCUCUUUGAUGAACAGCAGCAAGGAGACUGGAUAGCUUGAGGUGUAAUUGAUGGGAUGCUGAAGGUCUGGCUGUUGUUUUGGUGGUUAUUUUUAUAGAUUAUAAAGGAACUGACCAUGCAGUGCUACCUCAACUUGUGGCUGAAUCUAACAGCUUCAUGGACUCAGCCCUCCAUUUAGCCCAUUUGGUCAAAUUAGGCUGGUGGUAACUGAAAGCUGUGACCAGCUGAUGGCUAUGUUGAAUGAUAGCUUGUGGAAAUCUCCUUAGUGGACUCAGACCAAAUUUUACUGACAGAAUCUCACUAUCUCCAAGCAAAUUCCUCCAAAAUAAAUGCUAACUCGAGGCUCAGGGGCAACCACAGGUUUAAAGACAAGGAGGGUGAACUUGUGUCUUCUCUAGAAGUAUUGUCUGUAAGCCAGCAAUGAAGUGAAAAAAAGGCACAUUUGUGUCAGCACCACCCAGGCUGUCAAUAAAGAACUCCUGCCCUCAGAACUAUCAAAUCAAAUUCAUAUGAAUUUCCCACUCUUCCAAAACCACUUUCCCACAGGGAAGAAGGGAUCACAAAAUUAAACAGCAUUCCCUUCUUCUCACAUCUUUGUAAUCUGCAAGCACUGUGCCUGUCACAGUGCUCCCAGGAGGUUUCCUUAACCAUAAUGUCUCAUCUCUGCAAACAGCUGUUUCCCUUUUGCACAAGAGUUCUUGGAGAUAUGCUUCACUUAUCAGAACUAUACCACUGAAAAGCUGGUAAAUAACCAAGUUCUGUUGGAAAGAUGAAAUCGCACUGCAGAUAGAUGGAUUUGCUUAACCUAUAAAAUAAUUCUGAGAUAGCUAUUGUUUUGGCAAAAUUCUAAAAUGUAACAAAGUUUGAUUGUUCUUGGCUUCUCCUAAUUUGCUUACUUUGGGGUAAUAGCUGGCCUUCAAUAUGCAUGUUAGUCUCGUUACUGUUAAGUUAAAUAUAUACACACAUAUCUAAGAGAGGUUUGACCAUUUACUGUCAGUGUUCCAAGGUUAGCUGAAGUCUGGACCUAUUACUUUCUCUGUGCUCCACUAAUUGAGACCAAGGCUUAUGCAAGACUUCCUUGGGGAUCACAGGGUCUGAGGUUUUUAUAGUCCACAAGGCUAAAAUUCAAAUAUGAACCACAGCUGUUUGGAUGGAAGUCCUGGACCUCAUCCUUUUGAACUAUAGUGACCUGCUCAGCCUUGCCAUCAUGUGAAACUCAGAAAUCCCUGCACAGAUGAUGACUGGGAUGUGAAAAUUGCCUGCCAAGCAGACCUGGGUAAAGUGAUUGGUUUACAGUGCUCUGGGAUUUGCAGGUGGAAGGACUGCUCUCUCACUCUCCUCUGCUACCCUCUUCCCUUCCAUUUCUGUACAUAUCAUUCUUUUAUAUAUAUAUAUAUAUAUAUAUGCAGAUUUGAUUCCACAUUCACCACCCAAACAGCUGAAUUGAUGUUCCUAUUGAAGAUGGUGAAGUUCCUCCCUUCUGCCAAGUACAGUUAUUUUUAUGAGUCCCCAGUAAGAGGUAAAGUAAGAGAAACAGGGUGUGGGAUAAACUAGUUAAUCUAUUUAAAUAGGGAUAGACCUCUAGCGCCCUAACACUUAAAUACUUUGUCUUCACUCGGCUGUGCUAUAUUUUAACUGGGGACUACAACCAGGACAAACAAGCGUGGCCUUUUCCUACUGUGGAUUGUCAUGCGAAAAUACUUGUGAAGGGGUGGAGUAAACAUUUUUGGGGAUCACACUGCAAGAGGAGAUAUAUGGGAACUCACUGUGAUGCAAAAGGAAAUCAUGUGUUACUCCACAGAUGAUGUGAUUGGCAUUGUGAGCUCAGAUGCGUAAAGACUAUCGAGGCAAAAAAAUCAAGAUUGAAGCAGAAUGAAAUACUCCUUUCUUCGGUAAGUCAGUGGGAGUCAUAAAUACUUCUGCAUCAGCUAGGAAAGCUACAAAAAACUAAAUCACAACUCUAUUUUCAUGCUGAUGCAUGCACUUUAAAGUAAUAUAUAUAAAAAUGCCUUCCUUUUGGCAUAACUGCAAUUACAUAAAUAUUUAGAUUUAUACUAAUAAGUAAUUUUGCAGAAGUUUAAAAUGAUAGGCUGCGUGAUAGCUAUUUAAGGGGAUGGGCAGCCCACCUUCCAGUGGCCACAGUGACUUCCAUCAAGUCGUAAUUGCAGGAGAGGGUGCUUCUGGAAAUUAAUGGUGAAUCUUAUAUUCCCUUGCAUUUAGAAUCCAAAUCUAUUAUUUCAUUACUACUGUUAAUUAUAUAACAAUCAUAUAAUAAUUAUAAAAAUAAUUAUAUAAUAACUAUGUCUGAAUAAAUAAUAAGCAUUUUCAAUAUUAAUGACUGCCUAGCAAGCAAGGCAAAGCAGAUCUUAAUCUGGUUUGAGUUUCUAUCCUUACACAUUCAUUUUACUCUUGCAAAGCAUAUUAAAUACUAUGGAAUGUAUAAAAAAGGCCACAAUUUCUUCUCUAUUGGUAUACUGAAAGUCUUUGUGUGUCCAAGGUAAUAGGAAUUCCCACAUUCGUGCUUACUGUAAAAUACAGCAAGCAAAAGCUAGAUAAAUUCUGUUUAAUAUGGAAAUAAUUUUGGCUGCAUCUUUGGCUUUGUAUGACAUGGAAACUGGUGAUUGUUUAUGCUUUCCUACUUUUUUUGGUCUGCAUUAAAAUCCCACAUGAGAAACAAAUUUUUCUCUAGGAACAAAAUGUUACUUUUUUGGGACUGAGUUCUAAUAAGCUGGGUAGUACGUCUGCUUCUUUUCAGCUGGGAAAUUGCAAUGCAUAUAAAAUCCAGAUGGAUAACACAUGAGGCUGGAAGCAGCCUUGGCCAAUCAGCCACGUCACUUGAUUAAAAGAAACCUAUAAUAAUUUAAGUAAAAAUAGUACCCUAACAAAGUAACAGAGCAACAAACUGGCUGCAGCAUGCGAUUUCAUCACAGUUCCAAUAUUGCUUUACUUUUGCUGGUUGGUCCUUUCAUAUCUUAUUGUAAAUUAACCUAUUUGCAUUAAGCGUGCAUGGAACUUGUGAUUAAAGCCCCAAAAUGUCAGUGAUGGAAGAUACAUGAUAAGCAGGAUGAGGGGGGAAAUCCAUCACCAGACUACAGAAGGCCACAAGAACCUAUUGCUCUUAGGGCAGUGGUGCACUUGAAGAACUCAGCUGAGAGUUUUGCCAUGAGGAAUCACCUACCCUGGCACGUGCCACACUAGUGCAGACCAGUACUUUUUGUAUGGAUUUUGUCUGUGACUGUCAGAAAGCAAGUAAGUGCAUCAAUGCAAUUACAAGGUCACUCUGCGGAAAAACUCCUGAGUAUCCCGCGAGAUGCAGCAGAUUUGUGGGUGAGACUGUCUAAGGCAGCCUGUGAAGAAGUCACAGACAGGACUUGCAGAGGGAUGGAGCCACAUCUGGAAUCCCUGUGGGCAAUUGAAGGAAUGUUUAUUAUUCUUUGUUUAUUAUUUUGAGUGUGUACUCUCCCUCUUCCUUUCUUUGUCUCUCUUUGUUAUUUGUGUAAUAAAAUUCCUCUAGGCAUACAAAGUAAGUAAGUCAUCUGGAAUUGUGCAGUUCCCUCUGCCAGGAAGCUGGAAAAGCCUCUCGUGCAGAGACAAAAGUAUGGGCUCAUCUCAAACACUGAGAAAUUACAGAAAUAUUCACCAUUUGCCUUUGAGUUAUAUUUACAUAGGAAAGAACUGUGGCAAAUACGUGUGCUUCUUGCUGUUAAAAAAAAUUGGCUUUUAUCCUGCCCAAGGUGUUGUGUUUAUUUAAAAGUUGUUGAGAAAUAAUUUGUACAUUCUAAAAUAAAGCAUGCAAAAUACAUUAAAAGGGCCCAGUGACAAAGUUGUUUUUUUUUUUUUUGCCAGUGGGUGUGGAGAAGGAAAAGGAAAUGAGUAAGUAGAGAGGAGCGUCUUUAUGGCCACAUGGCUAGUGAAAAUUUCUAUUUAUUCUUUGGGGAAAAAGCAAAGUAGCUGCAUAGUUGCUGGUUGGAUAGGUGCCGGGACUAUUUUUAUUGGCAGGCAGCUCUGAGUGGCUGAAAGGCGGUCAUUAACACUCUGACACAAAGUGCUGACAGGGCGAUUAUAAGAUUAACACCCUAUGUUAUAUUAACAGUGUCAAAACCUCCCCGUACCUGUCAGUGAGAAAUAAUGGCACGAAGGAAAACAUUAUAGACAUGCUGAGACUUUAGCAUUGAAAUACCAUGCAGCUAUUCACUUUUUGAAAUUGAUCUAAAUAUCUAGAUGACCUACUGAAGGCUCAUAAAAUAAUGUGAUUUAAAUGGCAGCUUCACCAAAUCAAAAAAUGAAUGCAAAAGUUAAGCCGCCCAGCUUACUUACUCUCUUGUUGACACUUUUAGCCCUGAUCUCCCUGGCAGUGGGUCUCUCACAACUGCUGCCUUUCAGUAGAGUUAUGGUUUGAGAUCUCAUAAAUUUAGGAUUUGACCUUAGGACUUUUGACAAAAACAGAGCUUUUCUGGAGAAUAUUAUUACUGGUCAAAAUUCAACCUCGGUCUUUCUCCAGGACUGCUAGUCAUCAUAGACUGGUUUUAUCAGUGAGAGCCUUUGGACCAUAAGGACCAAUCUGCAUUUAAAAUGUCUCUGCUCCACGUUCAUUAGAACUGGAAUAGCAAACCCUCUGGCAUAGCUGUCCUGGAGAAUAUCCAAAGAAUGGCAACGAAACCAGUGAAGUUUCUGGAUCACAAGUCUUAUGGAGAGCAACUGAGGGAAAUGAGAUUGGUCAUUCUGGAGAAGGUGAGGUUCGGGGAAGACCUUAUCACACUCUACAGCUGCCUAAAAGGAGGUUGUGGUGAGAUGAGGGCUCUUCUCCCAGGUUUCAGUGAUAGGAUGAGAGAUGAUGACCUUAAAUUGCACCAGGGGAGGUUCAAGUUGGAUAUUAGGGAAAAUUUCUUCUCAGGAGUGGUGAUGCACUGGCACAGGCUGCUCAGGGAGGCGGUAGAGUCACUGUCCCUGGAGGUGUUCAAGAAAAGGGUGGGUGUGACACUGAGGGACAUAAUCUAGAGCAGUCGUGGCCGUGGCUUGAUGGUUGGACUAGAUGAUCGUAGUGGUCUUUUCAACCUUGAUGAUUCUAUGAUAGCUUCAGCUAGACUGCCUUAUGCUGCCUUAAGUUCUGCCAGUUUUGAUUAAGAGGAUAAGCCAGGACAAAAAAAGUUCUUCCUGUAAGACUAAAUCUGUACCUUCACUAGUAAAAAAUAUUGUUCAAGUGUUGCCAGGCAAAGCAUUAUUUCUGUAUUUUUAUUAUUAUAUUUUAUGUUGUAUAUGAUGAUAAUACAGUCUAUAUAUUUUUGUCUGUAAGACUGAUAAAUAAAAUGCAAAUUAAAUAUUCUUCUAAUACUUUGGUUUCUAACCAAAUAAAGACAUGGUCAAAUCACCCCACGUGCCAGGAAAUGCUUCUGAGUUGCAUAAGAAAGGUUUGAUAGUUUUAAGUAAGUGGGAUCUGGGGGGUUUACAGAAUGUUGCAAUGCCAUCAUACCUUAU